CCUACGGGUUGCACCAGUGGGGAAUAUUGGACAAUGGGCGAAAGCCUGAUCCAGCAAUGCCGCGUGUGUGAAGAAGGUCUUCGGAUUGUAAAGCACUUUCGACGGGGACGAUGAUGACGGUACCCGUAGAAGAAGCCCCGGCUAACUUCGUGCCAGCAGCCGCGGUAAUACGGAGGGGGCUAGCGUUGCUCGGAAUGACUGGGCGUAAAGGGUGCGUAGGCGGUUUAUGCAGUCAGAUGUGAAAUCCCCGGGCUUAACCUGGGAACUGCAUUUGAGACGCAUAGACUAGAGGUCGAGAGAGGGUUGUGGAAUUUCCAGUGUAGAGGUGAAAUUCGUAGAUAUUGGGAAGAACACCGGUGGCGAAGGCGACAACCUGGCUCGAUACUGACGCUGAGGAGCGAAAGCGUGGGGAGCAUACAGGAUUAGAUACCCGGGUAGUC
Molecule: ribosomal RNA, 440 nt
Filed under: uncultured bacterium
Lineage: Bacteria
Description: bacterial SSU rRNA
Rfam family: Bacterial small subunit ribosomal RNA
Source: RNAcentral